RNAcentral lists this unclassified non-coding RNA (598 nucleotides) under Haliotis rubra (blacklip abalone). RNAcentral describes it as "uncharacterized LOC124274164, transcript variant X1". Lineage: Eukaryota; Metazoa; Mollusca; Gastropoda; Lepetellida; Haliotidae. The record is from RNAcentral.
ACUAUAUAAUAGAGGGACGACCCUCUAGCCAGUGCGCAAAACCAUCAGCGCUACGGCUUGUACUGCGCAGCCUAUCCGGAAGCUGGCGAAAACGUGUGUUGACUUCAGUCAUCGAUUUAGCGUGAUUUUCAUUGCAAAGAUGCCCAGGAAAAAGAAAGUUUUCAUCGGCAGUCGACGGAAGGGCUACUCAAAGUGGGGUCCGAAACAAAAAGGUGUCAGUUCUUCCUCUCUCUCUGACAUUCUUAUCCAUCAGUUCAAUCAACUGUUCUCGACGAUUGCAGUUCAAGAGAUGCACUGUGGGACAAAGCAUGGAAGUCAUUCUUCAUUGACUUCACCGAUGAACCCACAGAUACCCCAUGCCUGGAAGAAGCGAAAGAAUCUGAUGGUUGUUCGGCUGAUGAAUUCUUUGGGUUUAUUUGACACAAUUCACCAGUAUGAUCCGGACAACAAUGUAGAUGAAUUUGUUGAUGGCAUCCUGCGAUACCAGCAAUAUUUAACAUUAAAAAAGGAGCUGUUUCAGCAUGUAGAUGAGCUAGGCAAUUUUACAAUUGCAAGAAACAAGCAUGAAAACAUUACUAUUGUGCAGUUUUAUGACUGA